GGCAUCAGAACAUCUGACGGUGCAUUUUUUAUUCCUAAUUCGUCCAAUGCAAGCACCAAAGAUACCGUCACUUGGAUGGUCUAGAAUUUGGAUUUUUCCUAUCAUUUGGAUGCUUCAGUACCAUAGAAUAAUCCUAGAUAUCAUGGCUUGUUCACUUAAAUACCAUAGAUUGGAUACUUAAAUACCAUGACUUGGAUACUCGAAUACCAUGAUUUGGAUGUCAAGAAUACCAUCAUUUGGACCUUGCCAUGAUUUUGUUUGCAUUCUUGGGACCUAGAAAACCUACAAGGUACAUGCUAGACAAAGCAUUAGUCCCAAAGACUAUGUUGUCACUCAAUCACCAAAAUCACAAACUAUGGCUUAAUGAGGCCAUGUUCGCUACAAUCUCUCCCUUUUUGAUGAUUGAUGACAACACAAUCAAAGCAAGCAUAAUUUUGCAAAAAUUUACCAAUUGAACCACAUACACUUCCUUUGAUGCUUACCAUCAUCCAACCAUCCAACCUCCCCCUUUGAACAUUCUCAUAUGACUCCCCCUUGAUGUACUUCUCCCUUUUUCUUGUAUUUCUCCCCCUAUGUAUAUUCACACAUAGGUACUUGCAUUGGCUCUUACUUUGAUUCCACAUUUCUCCCCCUUUGGAAUCAAAUCGCCAAAAAGGCAAUCUCUUCCAUUUGUAAGCCUAC
Molecule: long non-coding RNA, 681 nt
Filed under: Setaria viridis
Lineage: Eukaryota; Viridiplantae; Streptophyta; Magnoliopsida; Poales; Poaceae
Description: long non-coding RNA (SVIR_LNC010618)
Source: RNAcentral